UACGUAGGUGGCAAGCGUUGUCCGGAAUUAUUGGGCGUAAAGCGCGCGCAGGCGGUCCUUUAAGUCUGAUGUGAAAUCCCACGGCUCAACCGUGGAAGGUCAUUGGAAACUGGGGGACUUGAGUACAGAAGAGGAAAGCGGAAUUCCAAGUGUAGCGGUGAAAUGCGUAGAGAUUUGGAGGAACACCAGUGGCGAAGGCGGCUUUCUGGUCUGUAACUGACGCUCAUGCACGAAAGCGUGGGGAGCAAACAGG
Molecule: ribosomal RNA, 253 nt
Filed under: uncultured bacterium
Lineage: Bacteria
Description: partial 16S ribosomal RNA
Rfam family: Bacterial small subunit ribosomal RNA
Source: RNAcentral